Molecule: long non-coding RNA, 357 nt
Organism: Cydia splendana
Lineage: Eukaryota; Metazoa; Arthropoda; Insecta; Lepidoptera; Tortricidae
Exons: 6
Source: RefSeq, a predicted model, not a curated record
UACAAAUGAUAAAAUAUCAAUUUUCGUUUGUACGGUAGAACAUGCGCAAACGCAGACCGCGAUGCGUGUACUAUUCUUGCUCUGUCUGUUUGUGGUAGUGAUAGUGCAGGCGUAUGAUGACCGAGCGGGUACCGUGACCAGCGUUAGGUCGCCAAGCCCCAGAGCUGUACAAAAACUAUCAUUUUUCAAUUCUAUUGCUACCUUGGCUGAGAUCAUAGCUAAUGUUCUGGGGAUAGUUAUGGACGGAAAGAAAAUUAAAGAAGAUGGCGUUGGGUAACGAGUGGCGAAUAUUCGGGUACACAACAUAAACAAAUCGAUUAUAUACUUAAUUGAAAUAAACUAUCGUAAUAUAACGAU